This 245-nucleotide ribosomal RNA is filed under the name uncultured Anaerovorax sp. Its description in RNAcentral is "partial 16S ribosomal RNA". It matches the Rfam family "Bacterial small subunit ribosomal RNA", at positions 796 to 1041 of the family's 1533-position model. The record is from RNAcentral. Lineage: Bacteria; Bacillati; Bacillota; Clostridia; Peptostreptococcales; Anaerovoracaceae.
CGCACCGUAAACGAUGAGCACUAGGUGUCGGGGUCGCAAGACUUCGGUGCCGCAGUUAACGCAUUAAGUGCUCCGCCUGGGGAGUACGUACGCAAGUAUAAAACUCAAAGGAAUUGACGGGGACCCGCACAAGCAGCGGAGCAUGUGGUUUAAUUCGAAGCAACGCGAAGAACCUUACCAGGACUUGACAUCCCUCUGACAGCCUUGAUAACGAAAGGCCUUCUUCGGACAGAGGAGACAGGUGG